CGGGUUUGUUUGUGUUGGCGUUAGCGCUUUUCCGGGUUGGACUACGUUUCUCACAGGCCUUGGGGGGACUAGUGAACUUCGGUCUCUGUUCCCUUUUCCGCUAGCUCUGCGGUCAUAAUUUUCUGUGUGUUUAUUACAGAAUAUUGAGCAGCGUUCACAGGUGAAUCUUAAGAUGCAAAGUAUCUCACUAUGUUUAUGGAAUACAGUAAAAGAAGAUACAGUACUUGGAAUGUGUAACAUUCAGGAAAGUGGCCCUAGAGUUCACUCAAGAGGAAUGGGAAUAUGGGUUCUGCUCUGAGGGAACUGUACUGGGAUGUGAUGAUGGAAAACAGCAACUUGGUCUCAC
Hippopotamus amphibius kiboko is the source of this 346-nucleotide long non-coding RNA. RefSeq lists it as uncharacterized. The transcript has 3 exons. The record is from RefSeq and is a predicted model, not a curated record. NCBI's taxonomy places the organism in Eukaryota, Metazoa, Chordata, Mammalia, Artiodactyla, Hippopotamidae.